RNAcentral lists this transfer RNA (73 nucleotides) under Pelagophyceae sp. CCMP2097. RNAcentral describes it as "tRNA-Met". It matches the Rfam family "tRNA". Rfam says of the family: Transfer RNA (tRNA) molecules are approximately 80 nucleotides in length. Their secondary structure includes four short double-helical elements and three loops (D, anti-codon, and T loops). The record is from RNAcentral. Lineage: Eukaryota; Pelagophyceae.
GCCCCCUUGGCUCAGUCGGUAGAGCGUUAGUCUCAUAAUCUGAAGGUCGGCAGUUCGAUCCUGUUAGGGGGCA